UACGUAGGGUGCGAGCGUUGUCCGGAAUUAUUGGGCGUAAAGGGCUCGUAGGCGGUCUGUCGCGUCGGGAGUGAAAACUCAGGGCUUAACCCUGAGCCUGCUUCCGAUACGGGCAGACUAGAGGUAUGCAGGGGAGAACGGAAUUCCUGGUGUAGCGGUGAAAUGCGUAGAUAUCUGGAGGAACACCGGUGGCGAAGGCGGCAUCCUGGACCAACACUGACGCUGAGUGAGCGAAAGCCAGGGGAGCAAACGGG
Molecule: ribosomal RNA, 254 nt
Filed under: uncultured bacterium
Lineage: Bacteria
Description: partial 16S ribosomal RNA
Rfam family: Bacterial small subunit ribosomal RNA
Source: RNAcentral